GAGUGCUGCUCUGGGGUGCUUUUCAAAAUCCAUGCGUCUCAUGAAUUAUGCUGCCAGAUCUAGGAGGAGCCAGUCCUCUUUGGAACUAGGUGAACUGGGCUAAUCAGAAACAGGCCCAUCUCAUCCGCCAGCCAGUUUGCUCCAGGGCCAGAGGAAAGCCAGGGCCUCUGGCUCCCACAUCCCAUGUGGCAACCAACCAUCAGGUUAUGCUUGGCUUUGCAACGAUCAGGAAAGGCCUCACGUCUGCCUAACUGCAAAACAAUUUGGUUGGCUUAUAAAUUGCUGCCUCUAUCAUGUGCUUCUGAAUUAAAAGGAACGGAUGGUUUUUAAAGGUUUAUCUGUUUCAUUAUUAAUGCGGAAUGACCUCCUGCUGACAAAUUUCGAUUUUCACACGGUUUCUUUGCUGAUGCAGUAUCUCUGCCACCCAUGCUCUAGGGCAGCGUGGAGCCACUUCAGAGCGUGCCUUUUGUGACCCAGCGCCCAGCAGGGUGUUCUUUUCUGAGUGCAAAGAGAGAAUCCACUGACCUCAUUUGCUUCCAUCCUGUGAACCUCUCAGUGGGUUUCAGAACACCCGGGUCUGAACAGAGAAGCUUCAGAAUACUUUGUCCGACUAGAGAACUUUUUUAUGGUGGGAGGAAAAAAUGUUGCCAGUCCCACUUCCCAGACACCUGGAAUUCAUGAAGUCUGAGGACUUCUUUCAUUUUACUUUCAACUAAAAGCUCUAGCACGAAACAGCAAAGGCUCACAGAACUAAAGAUCAGGAGGUGGCCCUGUGAGAGGGUAUUCGGCCUGGAUCCCUGGUGAAACUCCAUCACUGAGCAGGUCUGUGAUCGCCCUUGUGGUCUGCUUUCUGUAGAUAAUACUCAUAGACUAUGCUGCAUAAAUUCUCAGAUUAUUCAAAGAUGAACAAACAGUUCAAAUGGGCAGUUUUAUGUGUUUCACUCUCAACCCUUUCCUUUUUUCAGUAUGUCUCCCUCCUUUUUUCCUCUCAAGCAUAUCUACUUCAGAAAGCGUGGAAAGAAAAGAGCCUGGUGGGAAAAGUCUAUCAAGUGAUAAUGACGUGCCCUUAUGGAAAAAAUUCUGGGUUCAGAAACAAUAGAGAUACCAAACAAGAUAAGACUAAGCCACAGAGAUAUCUGAAAAGCUGCCAUCAAUCAAAGCUCUUUGUGAAGCUGGUUAGUGCAGGUUCCAUUUUUCUAAGGAGCAGGCAAAAGGAACAAAUAAAAUCCAGCUGUUUCUUCAUUCUUGCACCAGGUGAGUCCCAGUAUCAAUACUUCAUUCAUUGUGGAUUAAGGGGAAAGUGGCCUUCAUUUCCUUUCUCAUUCCAUUUUGAAACCUCAGAUUUCUUUCUUUCUGCCAGUGAUACCCAGUUGUUGAGUCAUAGCCACCUGGGCUCUAGUUCUGGCAUUGCUUGCAAUGUCAUCAUGAGAACCUGAUAGAUGGUGUUAAUAGCAGAGUUUAGAC
This 1464-nucleotide long non-coding RNA is filed under the name Pan paniscus (pygmy chimpanzee). Its description in RNAcentral is "lncRNA (ENSPPAG00000045336.1)". The record is from RNAcentral. Lineage: Eukaryota; Metazoa; Chordata; Mammalia; Primates; Hominidae.